Molecule: ribosomal RNA, 253 nt
Filed under: uncultured bacterium
Lineage: Bacteria
Description: partial 16S ribosomal RNA
Rfam family: Bacterial small subunit ribosomal RNA
Source: RNAcentral
UACGUAGGGCGCAAGCGUUGUCCGGUAUUAUUGGGCGUAAAGAGCUCGUAGGCGGCUUGUCACGUCGGGUGUGAAAGCCCGGGGCUUAACCCCGGGUCUGCAUUCGAUACGGGCUAGCUAGAGUGUGGUAGGGGAGAUCGGAAUUCCUGGUGUAGCGGUGAAAUGCGCAGAUAUCAGGAGGAACACCGGUGGCGAAGGCGGAUCUCUGGGCCAUUACUGACGCUGAGGAGCGAAAGCCAGGGGAGCGAACGGG